AGCAUGGUCUUAGCUUGCUAAGACCGAUGGCGACCGGCGCACGGGUGAGUAACACGUAUCCAACCUGCCUUAUACUCCCGGACAGCCUUCUGAAAGGAAGAUUAAUACGGGAUGGUAUCACGGGUCAGCAUUUUCUCGUGAUUAAAGAAUUUCGGUAUAAGAUGGGGAUGCGUUCCAUUAGAUAGUAGGCGGGGUAACGGCCCACCUAGUCUACGAUGGAUAGGGGUUCUGAGAGGAAGGUCCCCCACAUUGGAACUGAGACACGGUCCAAACUCCUACGGGAGGCAGCAGUGAGGAAUAUUGGUCAAUGGGCGCGAGCCUGAACCAGCCAAGUAGCGUGAAGGAUGACUGCCCUACGGGUUGUAAACUUCUUUUAUAAAGGAAUAAAGUGAGGCACGUGUGCCUUUUUGUAUGUACUUUAUGAAUAAGGAUCGGCUAACUCCGUGCCAGCAGCCGCGGUAAUACGGAGGAUCCGAGCGUUAUCCGGAUUUAUUGGGUUUAAAGGGAGCGUAGAUGGGCUGUUAAGUCAGUUGUGAAAGUUUGCGGCUCAACCGUAAAAUUGCAAUUGAUACUGGCAGUCUUGAGUACAGUUGAGGUAGGCGGAAUUCGUGGUGUAGCGGUGAAAUGCUUAGAUAUCACGAAGAACUCCGAUUGCGAAGGCAGCUUACUAAACUGCCACUGACAUUGAUGCUCGAAAGUGUGGGUAUCAAACA
Molecule: ribosomal RNA, 713 nt
Filed under: uncultured bacterium
Lineage: Bacteria
Description: bacterial SSU rRNA
Rfam family: Bacterial small subunit ribosomal RNA
Source: RNAcentral